RNAcentral lists this long non-coding RNA (38207 nucleotides) under Coffea arabica (coffee). Its description in RNAcentral is "long non-coding RNA (CARA_LNC001756)". The record is from RNAcentral. Lineage: Eukaryota; Viridiplantae; Streptophyta; Magnoliopsida; Gentianales; Rubiaceae.
UUUUUUUUUUUUUUUUUUUUGUGUAAGCAGAAGGACUCGAACCCGAGACCUCUUGCUUAUACUCCCUCCCCCCCUCCAAUUUUCACUUCAUCAUAUCACAAUUUUCAUUGCCACUCCAUUACAAACUUUCCUGUUUACCCCACACUCUCUUCUUUCUAAUAUUCAGUCUCCACUUUCUCCUUUACUUUUUUUUACCUUUGUCACCCCCUUCUUAGUCCCACUUUUUAAUUUAAUGUAUUGGUGUUUUCUUCCACCAUUUUUAGAGUAAUCUUUUGAACUUUUUCUAUUCUUUCCUGUGUUUAUAUGUUGAAUUUCUUUUUCUCUUUUCUUUCGAAUUUUUCUUUCCACUAUUUCCAAUAUGUUACUGGUGCAUCAACAGUUUGCAUCAUGAAGAGUAGGAAGUUUUGGACUACUUGCAAUUGGUAAUGGUUGCCUCCAAAUAUUAAGCACAAAGUUCUAUAAAAUGCUUCCAAAUAUUUAAAUCAUGAAAAUUUAAUGUUUUCUUUCUAAAAUUCAUAAGAUGUAAACAAAAUUAUGCAAUAUUGAUAAAUUUGUGCAUAUAGCGUGCAAGUAUGUCUGAGUGAAAUUUGAUGAGAAAGAAGAGGGAAAGGACGAUAUACCAUUUAAUUAGAUACUAAACCUGACCCUUUUCAAUUUUUGCACGUCAUCCAUAGAAAAACAAUAAUAACAAACAAAUUACAAGCCAAAAUAUCAGCUCAAAAAUCCAAAAAGAGGAACAACCUAACAAAUUUGAUAUUCAGUUGACCUAUAUUGUCAUUUACUUCUUGUAAAUAAACUAGUUUCCAAUUUUGAAAUUGUAAUCCAUUAUAUAGAUUGGAUCACUUAAAUAUGCUAACAAUACACAUAAUUUUGAUUUUGUAAGAGUUUAUGUGAUACUCUAAUUUAUAUAUUUUAUGCAUUUAGUCUAAUACUAUGAAGCUCUAAAUCUGAAUCUUGAUAUAUUAUCUUAGCUCAUAAAUGUUUGAUUACACCUACAAUUUAGUAUAAAAGACUUGCACCUUAUUUGUAAUUGAAAACAUUCAAAGAACAAGAAAAAAAGAUGAAUAGUUUAUUACUAUAAAUUGUCUAGUGAAAGAAAAUGAUAUGAUAUAAAAUGCAGGUUUCAAUCAAAUAAAUAAAUCUAGAACUAUUUAGAUGGCAAUCAUAAGAAUCACAACUAAAUAUCAUUCAGUUAUAGUAAAAUAUUUAUGAUAAAAGAAAGGAAGGGCAUGGAUCUCAUUCUAAACUAUCCAAGUGAAACAAAAAUAUUGGGCUCCGUUUGGAUUUGAGAGUUUUUGAAAUACUUAUUUUUCAUCUACAUUGCUACAGUAAUACACAAAUAAAAACAACUCCAAAAACACCAUAUCCAAACAAUAUAUCAAAAACAACUCCAAAUAUACAAAAAUAUAUAUUAAUAUAUAUUAAUAUAUAAAUAAUAUAUACAAAAAAUAUGUUUUGUUUAAUAAAUAUAUAUAUUUAUAUAUAAAUAUUAAUACAAAAAUUAAUAUUUAUAUUUUGUUUAAAAUAAAUAUAUAUACUUAUCAAAUUAAUAAAAUAUAUAUACAGAAAAUAAAUAUAUAUUUAUGUACAAAUAGUAAUAUAUUUUGUUUAAAAUAUAUUUAUAUAUAUUUAUAAAUAUAUUUACAUUACAUAUAUGUUUAUGUAAAUAUAUAAAUAUAUUUAUUUAUAUAAAUUUAUAUAAAUUUAUAAAUAUAUUUAUUUCAAAAAAUAAAAUUAAUAAAAUGUAUAUACAAAAAAUAAAUUUUUAAAAAAAAUGAAAUUAAUAAAAUAUAUAUACAAAAAAAUAAAUAUAUAUAAAUAUUAAAAUUUUGUUUAAAAUAUAUUUAUAUAUAUUUAUCUAAAUAUAUAAAUAUAUUUAUUUAUAUAUAUUUAUUUCAAUUUUGUUUUAUAAUAUGUAUAUUAAUAUAUAUUAAUAUGUAUAUUUCAAUUAUGUAUAUUAUGUUAUAUAUAUAUAUAUAUAUAAAUUAUAGUAAUAUUUAUAUAUUUCAAUUAUGUAUAUUAAUAUGUAUAUUAUAUAUAUUAUAUCAAUUGAAAUAAAUAUUAUAUAUUUAUAUAUAAAUAUAAAUAUUUAUAUAUAUUUAUAAAUAUAUUUUUACUUUUUUUAUAUAAAUACAUAUAUAUUUAUUUAUAUAUAUUCUUAUAAAUAUAUAAAUAUAUUUAUUUCAAUUUUUUAUAAUAUGUAUAUUAAUAUAUAUUAAUAUGUAUAUUUCAAUUAUGUAUAUUAUAUUAUAUAUAUAAAUCAUAAUAAUAUUAAUAUGUAUAUUUAAAUUAUGUAUAUUAAUAUGUAUAUUAUAUAUAUUAUAUCAAUUGAAACAAAUAUAGAUAUUUAUAUAUAAAUAUAAAUAUUUUGUUUAAAAUAUAUUUAUGUAAAUAUAUAAAUAUAUUUAUUUAUAUAUUUAUAUAAAUAUAUAUAUUUCAAUUUUAUUUUAUAAUAUGUAUAUUGAUAUAUAUAUUUAUAUAUGUAUAUUAAAUAUAUAUUAAUAUACAUAUUAUAUUUAUAAAUUAUAUAUGUAUAUUAAAUAUAUAUUAAUAUACAUAUUAUAAAACAAAAUUGAAAUAAAAAAUAUUAUAUAUAUAAAUAAAUAAACAUUAAUAUAUAGAAACAGAGCCAAUAUAUAUUUUAAAAAAUUCCAAAAAAAAUUGUAAAUUAUAAAAAUAUUCAAAAAUAUAUUUUAAAAAUACUUCUAAAAAUAAUCCAAAAAACAUCUACAGUAAAAGUUUUUCAUAUACACAGCUACAGUAAAGUUUUUAAAAACAGCUAAUCCAAACAGAGCCAAGGAUCUAACAACAUAACUUGCUUUAUAGCGACAUACUUGUCAUCAUAAAUACCCAAAUAUCACACUAGUAAGUCACAUAAUCUAGAUGUAAACACCAAAAAGUGAAAAUGUGCUUGAAAUCAUUGCAUUAUCUGAAGUCUGUGCAUGUUGAAAGGAUACAAAUACAGCUGCAGAGGCCCUUCCUGGGCCUGGACACGUGGCGGCCCAGGGCGAUCUGAGCUGGGCUUGGACCCCGAGUCCAUGGGGGACCAGCCCAGGCCACACGAUGGCUAGGGCUCCCCAGGGCUCCCGGGAGCUACCCCGCAGAGGGCGGGGGGAAUCCCCCUCAGUGCGGGAUGGAGAGCAAUCCAGGGCAAGUCCCGGAACGUACGGAGGUCGGACUCCUUAGCAGGUAUAAACAGUAACACGCAAUGACUGCGCACGGUUCGCUCACUGAUUGACUGGACAACUCCUCUCGACUGUUUACUUCCCGUGAACCUUACUCACCGGAAAACUAACUUGACCGUCGGAGUACCCUCGGGGACAACCUCAGGGCCCCUGUCAGUCCACUUUCUUGUUCAUCUUUCAGGCUUAGGACGCGCACUCUCUGCCAUCCAGCCGAGCUCAUCAGGUCAGCUCGGUCGGGGGAAGUUCCGUGCUUCUUCAGUUGGCGCCGUCUGUGGGAACGAAGGUACGAUUAUUUGUGUUGAUGGCGAGAACGCGUUUCAAGCGAACCAUGGAUAACACUGAUCCCGGAGCCGGUGAGGGAUCCCGGCGGUUGGAAACUGAGGCAGCCCGAGGCGCCGGGGGCUCGGCCCUUUCCGGGGAGCGAAGACAGCAGAUCUAUCAGUUUGUAACCGAAAAUCUCCCCAUGCUGAAAGAUAUAAUCCAGCAGGCGAAGGAGGGAGGUGAGGCCGGCGGUACGCAAACCUCCAAGGCGAAGGGGAAGGAGAGGGAGUCGCUCCCCAUUCCCUUGGAGGACGAGUCCCGGGACCAGCCCCCUAGGAGGAAACGACCGCGGACUCCUCCCAAGCCGCGAGCCUCGGUGGUCGGGGACAGUGAGAGAUAUUCUCGCGACCGGUCCGCUGGGGGCCGACUGAGGAAUCCCUCCUCAUGGAAGCUUGCGCGGAACGAGCCGGAGCGCUCCCCCACCCGGUCUGUCAAGAGCCGGCCGAGGGACCCUCCCCAAUGGCAGCCCGUCCGGGACGAGCUCGAGCAGAUCCUGCGACCACAACCGUACGAGGACAACUAUGCAGUCUCGCCCUUCACCCGAGAGGUCGAGGACUACCCGUUACCGCGGAGGUUUAAAAUCCCGAACAUCGAGCUGUACGAUAGUUCGACUCACCCGGAAGACCACCUCUCGGUCUUCCUGACGCAUAUGCGUCUACAAACCGCCGCGGAUGCCCUCCGUUGCAAGACCUUCCCCAUGUUUCUUAAGGGUAAGGCCCGGCUCUGGUUCCAGGGCCUAGCACCGAGGUCUAUCCGGAGUUUCACUGAGCUGGCCAGACAGUUCGCCGUCCAAUUCGUCUCCUCGAAGACUUAUUCGAAAAACGCGGCCCACCUGAUGGCCAUCAAGCAAAAGCCGGACGAGUCCCUGAAGAAUUUCAUGACGCGCUUCAACACAGAAAACCUGCAGAUCAGGGACAAGGAUAAGAAGGUGGUCAUGGCUGCUUUCAUGAACGGGCUAAGGGUAGAGGAGCUCUACUACAAGCUUGUCGAACAGCUCCCUAUGAAUCUGGGAGAGCUCUUGACCCGGGCUCAUGCCGCUGCUAACGCAGAGGAGGUUGGCAGCCUGAAACGAGAAUCCGAUCGGGAUCUCGGGGACCGGAAAGGACGGGCAAAUCCCCCUGACGCAAAGGACGGCCAGACCAAGAAGAACGUCUUCGAUCGCCUCUCUAAGGAUAAAGCCCCUGCUCCGCCACCGAUCCCAGAGAAAGGCUAUACCCCCCUAACUCGGCCCAAGGCCCAAAUCCUGGUUGUCAUGGAGACAGAGGGCCUGGGGGACCGGCCGCCUAAAAUGGGCACACCUCGGAAUAAGAGUAAUCAGGACCGGUACUGCGCCUUCCACAGGGACGUCGGGCAUGACACUGAGCGGUGCUGGGCCCUAAAAAUGGAAAUCGAAGACCUUGUUCAGCGCGGCUUCCUGGGGCGAUUUGUGCAACAAGGCCGCCCAGGCCAGGAUCUGGGACGCACCUACCGUGGAGAAAGAGGCGAGGGCCAGCAUCGUGACCGACCUGAUCGGCGUGGCGUACCCCAGGGUUAUUCCCCCGACCAGGACGCCCAGAACUUGGCUGGUGUGAUAAACACCAUUGCCGGCGGUCCCAGGGGGGGACAGCCAUGCCGCCCGGAAGAACAAGCGAUCUCCCCCCGAGGGGGACGACUCCCUAAAACGCCUGCGCGUGGACGAGGAGAUCACCUUCGGGCAGAGAGAUGCGGUUCCCCUAGCAUCUGGGAACCAUGAGGCCAUCGUCAUCGAUGUUGUGACCAACAACUACCGGGUGAAGAAGGUGUACGUCGAUCAAGGGAGUGCGGUCGACAUUAUGUUUUAUCGGGUGUUCAAAGAGCUCGGCUUGGAGGACGGACAGCUAACCCCUGUCCGAACACCUCUGGUAGGCUUUACGGGACCACCCAUCAACCCGGAGGGGAUGAUCACCCCGAUGGUCACAGUAGGUCAGGCACCCAGAUGCCGGACCAUCCCUGUCAAUUUUGUGGUGGUCAAGCAGCCUUCCCCGUACAACAUGUUCCUAGGUCGGCCCGCUCUGAAUGCCCUCCGAGCUAUUCCUUCAACGCUCCACCUCAGCGUCAAAUUCCCCACCUCGGGAGGAGUUGCCGAGGUGCACGGAGACCCAGAGGUGGCCCGAACUUGCUACCUAGCCAUGCUCCGGGGCCACGAGAAGUUGGUCGCUCAGGCGACCAGCUUGGAGCCUUAUAUCCCGGGGGAGGAGGAACGGCAGCUGGACACUCAGGAUGAGAUCGAGGAGUUUCCGUUGAAGGAGGACAGGCCUGACCAGGUAAUCCGCAUCGGGGCGUCACUAUUGCCCAAGGAGAAGGACGGCUUGAAAGCCCUCCUGAGGGAGUACGCCCAAGUUUUUGCUUGGACGGUCGAGGACAUGCCAGGGAUUCCGACCGACCUUGCCGUCCAUCACCUCAACAUAAACCCCCGCUUCAAGCCAGUGAAGCAGAAGAAGAGGAACUUCACUCCGGAGAGAAAUGAGGUGAUCAGGAAGGAGGUCGGAAAGCUGUUGGAGUCCAAAAUCAUCAUGGAGAUCUACUACCCGACUUGGCUAGCCAACCCAGUUCUGGUAAAAAAGGAGGACCAGUCCUGGAGGAUGUGUGUUGACUUUACGGAUCUCAAUAAAGCCUGCCAGAAGGACUGCUUCCCCUUGCCGAGGAUCGACAGGUUAGUAGAUGCUACUGUUGGUUUUGAUGUUUUGUGUUUCCUAGAUGCCUUUAAGGGAUACCACCAGAUAGAGAUGGUCGAGGAGGAUCGGGAAAAAACAUCGUUCAUCACCGAGGAAGGAACUUACUGCUACCGGACGAUACCCUUCGGACUAAAGAACGCUGGAGCUACUUACUAGCGCUUGGUCAACAAAUUGUUCCAGGACCAGAUCGGCAGGAACAUGGAAGUCUAAGUGGACGAUAUGAUCGUCAAGAGCCGAACUGAUCAGCAACUCGUCCCCACCCUUAGGAAAAUCCUGAGCAUCCUGCGGGAGAGCCGGAUGCGGCUAAACCCAAAGAAAUGCACCUUCGGAGUUUUCUUGGUCUCCUGAGAAGGGAUCCGGGCCAACCCCGAAAAACUCCAGGCCAUCAUGGACAUGGCCCGUCCACGGAAUGUAAAGGAGGUCCAGCGACUUACGGGAAGGAUGGCUGCCCUGAAUAGGUUCCUUUCACAGUCCGCCGUGAGAGGGCUCCCCUUCUUCCGAAUCCUUAAGGUGCCCAAGGACUUUCAAUGGACCGAGGAGUGCCAGAAGGCCUUUACCGACCUAAAGGCGUAUUUGGCCGAGCUACCCACUCUGACCGCUCCGGAACAGGGAGAGACCUUGUUCCUGUACUUGUCCGCUUGCAACGAGGCCAUCAGUGCGGUUUUGGUGCGGGAGGACAGGGGGGUUCAGAAGCCAAUAUAUUAUGUCAGUCGUGCUCUACAAGGGCAGGAGACGCGGUAGACGCCGGCUGAAAAACUGGUCCUGGCUCUGGUGCAUGCUGCCCGGAAGCUCCGACCUUACUUCCAGGCCCACAGCAUCAUGGUCAGGACCGAUCAGCCCCUGCGACAGAUCCUCACAAGGCCUGAGGUCUCGGGCAGGAUGAUCAAGUGGGCCGUCGAGCUUGCCGAGCACGACAUCGGCUACCAGCCUCGCACCGCAAUCAAGGCUCAGGCCCUGGCGGACUUCCUCGCCGAGGGAGCCAGCCUGUCCACCGCUGAGAUGAGCUCUUUGCCCGAAUAGGCCAGGUCAGAACAGCCCUGGGUGCUAUUCGUGGACGGGGCUUCGAGCAAGGAGGGAAGCGGGGCCGGUCUGCUGCUCACCUCGCCAACGGGGGAAGAGCUGACUUAUGCUCUCCGGUUUGACUUCCCCGUGUCUAACAAUGAGGCUGAAUAUGAGGCCCUAUUGACGGGAUUGGGGAUAGCCCACCAGAUGGGUAUUACCGCGAUCAAAGUCCGGAGUGACUCUCAGCUCAUCGUCCUCCAAGUUUGCGGGGAAUACGAGGCCAAGGAGGAGGUCAUGAAGAAGUACUUGGCCAAGGUGCAGGAGGCGACAGCUCUGUUUGAUACAUUUGAAAUUGAGCGGGUGCCUAAAUCGCAAAACAAGCGCGCAGACGCCCUUUCAAAGCUGGCAUCCUCCUCGUUUGCGCACCUGAACAUGGAAGUUCUGGUGGAGGUGGUAAAGCAGAAAAGUAUCGACCAGGUCCAAAUCCUGUCUAUAGACAGCUCGGCCACCUGGAUGACCCCCCUCGUAAGCUUCCUCAGCUAGGGCACCCUCGCCGAGAACAAAACCGAGGCUCGUCGGAUCCAGUUCAGAGCUGCCAAGUACGCCUACGCUGGGGGAACCCUCUACAGGAGGUCAUACUUAUCCCCCUGGCUAAAGUGCGUGACUCCCGAAAAGGGCGAUUACGUCCUCCGCGAAGUCCAUGAAGGAUUAUGCGCGGCGCAUGUCGAGUCCCGGGUACUGGCCAAAAAGUGCCUUCUCCUGGGCUACUAUUGGCCUUCGAUUUUCCAAGAUGCGGCUGCUCUGGUUCAAAAAUGUCGAGCCUGUCAGGUGCAGGCCCCGCUGCGCCAUCAACCCACCCAAGAGAUGGUCCCCAUCCACAGUCCCUGUCCUUUCGCCCAAUGGGGGAUAGACCUCCUGAGUCCCUUCCCCCGAGCUCCGGGCAGGUACGAAUACCCCGUGGUAGCCAUCGACUAUUUCACGAAAUGGAUGGAAGUCGAACCCCUGGCCACUAUCUCCGGUAGAGCGAUUCAGAAGUUCUUCUGGAAAAACAUAGUCUGUCGCUUCGGAAUCUCGCAUGCCCUAAUAUCCGACAACGGGGGACAGUUUGCUGAAAAUCCCUUUAAAAGUUGGUGCGCCGAGCUCGGGAUUAACCAGCACUUCACCUCGGUCGGACACCCCCAGGCCAACGGUCAGGUGGAGAAUGUCAACCGAACCGUUCUGCAGGGACUAAAGACUAGGUUGGAGCAAGUCCAGUCUAAUUGGCUAGACGAACUGCCUAGCGUCCUCUGGGCUUACCGCACCACGCCCAGAACGGCCACCCACGAGACCCCGUUCUCUCUGACUUACGGAGUGGAGGCGGUGGUACCCGCGGGGAUUGCUCCUUGUUCUAAGGAAAAACUCGGUCAGCCGAGCUCACAGCUCCAACAAGCUCAACCCGAACUGGGAGGGCCCUUACCAGGUCCUCGAGGCAAGCCAAGCUGGCUACUGCAAGCUCGCGAAAAUAGAUGGAUCAGAGGUACCCCGCACCUGGCACUUCUCCAAUCUGCGACUGUUUGUAGCAUAGGUUGGACUAGGGUGUCCGUUUGUCUGUUCUCUGGAAUUCGAAUUUCAGUCUCAUUACUCAAUAAAAGCUCACUUAUUUGUGAUUUUAUUUGUACUUGUUUGCUUUUUAAGUUUGAAUCUUACACUAGCACACUUAGCGUUCCCUUACUAAAUGUCCUAGUGGGGGGCUAGGGGGUAGUACUGGAUGCAAGAGUGUUCGCUAGAGUGUUCGACCCAGGAGGUCGGCACGACUGGAAAACUUUGAAGAAUUUUGAAGGAUUCUAAAGAUUCCACGCUCGACCCAGGAGGUCGGCGGGCGCCAUCGCAAGGCGCGAUGCUCGACCCAGGAGGUCGGCACGAACACCUUCAAGGUCGGAUGCCCGAGGAUGCAAGAGUGUUCGCUAGAGUGUUCGACCCAGGAGGUCGGCACGACUGGAAAACUUUGAAGAAUUUUGAAGGAUUCUAAAGAUUCCACGCUCGACCCAGGAGGUCGGCGGGCGCCAUCGCAAGGCGCGAUGCUCGACUCAGGAGGUCGGCACGAACACCUUCAAGGUCGAAUGCCCGAGGAUGCAAGAGUGUUCGCUAGAGUGUUCGACCCAGGAGGUCGGCACGACUGGAAAACUUUGAAGAACUUCGAAGGAUUCUGAAAAUUCAACGCUCGACCCCGAGAGGUCGGCACUGAUUAAGGCUUCCGGAUGCAUGCUCGACCCCAAAAGGUCGGCAAGGGUUAAAGCUGGGAAGUCUGAGAGCACGACGCUCGGCCGCGAGAGGUCAGCGGGGAAACUAAGAGGUUCGACGCUCGACCCGGGAGGUCGGCGGGAAAAAACCUUAAAGACUUGGUGCCCAGCCCCAAGAGGCUGGCGCGUUGCCCUGGUAGGGCGGCAUGGUGCUCGACCCGGUAGGUCGGCACAGGGUUUCGACAACCUGGUUCUCUCUAAUGAUUUAGUUGUUAGAUUAACGAGGAUAUGCGUUGGGUGCUCGACCCAGGAGGUCGGCACCUGGCUUUGGUUGUUACAGAGGGGUGCAGGAAGAAAUUGCAAGGAAAUCCCCUUCGAAUUUCGUAUAUGCAUUCAAAGCUUGUCUAUUACAAAACUUCCAGCCUGUCUAUUACAAAACUUACAUCCUAUCUAUUACGACGCUCACCGAGCUAUACAAGGAAAGGGGGGCCUAACUACGUCUUCUUCUUGCUGGCGACCUGCUUGAGGUGGGGGCUGAAAGUACACCUUAAACAUGCUGAGAGAUAGGAGCUGAAGGUACACCUUAAGCAUGUUGGAGGUCGGGUGGAGAAGGCUGUUAAAAAGGAAGAUGGACCCUCAAGAGCAUUUUCAACUGGAGCAUGGUCACAUCCUUAUGUCAGGUGGAGAAGGCUGUUAAAAAGGACCUGGGGAGCCUUUCCGUCUCAGAUGGACCCUCAAGAGCAUUUUCAACUGGAGCAUGGUCACAUCCUUAUAAGGAGACGGAAAGGGUUUCUGGAGUGGCCGCUGCCCUAGGCCACAGGCUCCUUCCCGGAAGCCCUGCCAGGAGUCUCCUCCUCCUCCAAGGGAAGCUCCGCCAGCUCUGCCCCCACGUCGCUCCUUCCCAUCAGUUCCUUCAGGGCAUGCCCCUUGCGUUACCCAUCGAAGAGCCAGUCCAGCUUCUCCUCGGCCGCGGGAUUGUAGUCCUUGAAAUCCGCCAAGUUGAAGCCGGGUGGGUUGAGGCCCUUCACCUUGUCCAGGGUCCACGUGGCGCCCAUCUGGAAGAUGGGCUGAUUGAGGCUGGCCACGUCAUCGGCGAACUGAUCGGAGCAGAUGAAGUCCCGGACAGCCUUCUUGCGCUCCCGGCUGAUGGCGCCAGAGAGCUCAAAGGCGUGCUCCUCCUUCAGUUUCGCCACGCCCUUCUUCUCCUGGUCCAGCUCAGACCGGGUGGAGGCGAGCUGGACUUGGGAGUCCUCCAGCCCCUUCUCAGCCUUGCCCAACUUGGCCUUAAGGGAGUCUACCUCCUUAAGGGCCUUGGCCAGCUUCUGCUCAGCCUCCCGAUUCUUCUUUUGCAUCUUCUCCAAGUCGGGAGACAGCUCGGAGAAGCGGGUCACCAGGGCAGCACCGGCGGCGUUGGCCUGCAGAAAUGAAAGUAAGAGUCAGCACACUGCUAACCCCGUUCAGAGAAAGAGCAGGGGCCCAAAGGACCUAAGAGGGAGAGGGCUUACUUGGGCCUGGGCGGUGUAGUACAUGUCCUGGAACUCGGACGGAGUAGCCAGCUCCAUCCACUUCUUGUCACGUGGAAGGACUGAGCCCGUGACCAGUUCGCGAGCCACCUCGGGGAAUUGGAUUUGGUCAUUGAUGGAGAGCUCUCAAGACGGGCAGAAACGUCGGGGAUCAUGCAGUGUGGGGGCCUGCCCCGGCUUCGAGGGGGCCACGUGACGGAAGUGCCACAAGCUCGGGGGGCGCUCUCCUGGGCGUGCUCCUCCGCGGAGCCUACCCCCAGGUGGACGAGGCCCCCGGACGUCAGCUGGAAAGGGCGCUGUGCCUGGCCCUGCGCAGGUUUCUUCCCGAGCUGGGAGGGCUCGUCCUCUCGUCCCCUCUUCGGCCCCGUUGCCUUCUUUUUGCUGGGGGCCUGCUUGGAGGGGGACUGAGUCGCAGAGGCCUCCUUCUGGGGGGUCGAGCUGCCCCCAGGAGUUGCAGAGGCCUCAGGGGCCUUCUUGGGCGCCUCAGGCUGUGUGUCGGAGGCGACCUCCUCAGUUGACGCGCCCAGCAGCCUGGAGAGCCUCUUCACUGCAGAGAAUACCGCCGAAUUAGUGCUACAAGUCAGAGAAAUAAAGGAGAAAAGGCAGCAAAUAACAGGAAAACAGGAGCAGUAUUACAGGUAUCUCGAUCGGCGGGGGAGAACUCCACCCCUCCGGGGGACUCGGACAACUUCCCCAACAGCCCGGUUGCGGAAAUCUGUUCGGUGGAGAACUUGGCUGCGUACAGCUUCGUCGCAGAGCCCAGCAGCUGGCCGAAGGCCUCAGGGUCCAGGUCCUCCGGGCAGGGGUCGUCCUCGACCCCCCCAACCUUCCACGCAUUGGGAGGAAAGUGCGUGGUUUUGACAAAAAAGAAGUCCCCCUUCCAGUUCUUCACGGAAGAGGGGACCUCGUAGAGAAGAUCUUGGACGCCCUUCCCGCCGCGAUUGUUGGCGGAGCGGCGGCAGAAGUAGUACCACCUAGGGAGAGAAGCCUUGAGGACGUAGAUGGUGUGGAAGAGAGAGAGAGAAUAGGGGAUGGAGUAGAUCUGACAGUAGAUCAGGAACCCAAUGAUACUCCUGAUCGAGUUAGGGUGGACCUGGGUGAUCCUGAGCUCCCAGAAGCUCAGGAUCUCUGCCAGGGCCGGGGGAAUGGGGAGUCGAAACCCCGCGACCAGCUGCUCUUUGUAAAUGGCUACAAAGCCUGGGGGAGGUCGGCAAGCCCGGUCGGUGGGCUCGGCAGCUCGUGGCUCAAAGGCCGGAGGAAUAGAGAAGGACGCGGCCAGAUCGGCCACCGCCCCGGGCGAGAGGGUGGUCUCCUCCCGGUCGGGGUGACCGUAGUUGAAUUCAGGGUCAUCCCCCUGCUCGGCAGCAGGGGUCCCCUCGGAGGAGUCCCUGUCCUCCCCAGCCCCCUCCUGGGCUCCGCCGGGGGAGUUGUGUGGAGACUUGGGGGAGGGGACAGAAGUGGCUUGCUGCUCGAUGAGAGCAUCGAGCUCGGCCACCUCCUCCAGGAGCCGGGCGGAAGGAGAAUGAGCAGAGGGAGAGCUCAUGAUGUCAAUAGGCUCAAGCAAGUCAGGAAUGGGAAAAUUGGGGUUGGAAGCAGAGGAUGAAGAAGGAGAAUGAGGGGGAGAUGGUAAGGAUGAAGAUGAAGAUGAAGACGAGGACGAGGAGGAAAUGAAGAUUCUGGUGGCUCUACGACGGACCGGAGUCUGGGAUGCGGUGGAAGUGACGUCGGAGUGACCCGACAUAAAGUGUAGGGGGUAGCAAAAGGAGGAAAGAAAAUGCGAAAGAAGAGGGGAAAGGACUUACUGAUGACCGGAGUGAAGAAGGGGAUGGAGAAGUCGCCGGAAUCUGGGUGCUGUUGGCCGGAAAUGCACUACUGGGAGUUGGAAACGCACGAGAAAAGGAGAAAAUGACAAAUAGAGUUAACUGGAAUUUGGCAGCCACUAUUUAUAGGGGACGAAAUGGGGGGGAAACGGUUUGUUUGAAUUGGAACCGCCCCAUGUGAACAUAUUUAAUAGAGGUACAGAAACCGAAGGGACGCGACCACUGAAAGAACGCAGACGCCACUUCCCAAUGACAGCACUGUGCCGGAGGUGACCGCGGCAGAGCAGUGUGAUGAUGGGCUUCCACGUGGCAAGAGGAUAGAUCAGGUCUGCCUGGGAGCCUGACCUAAUCUAGGGGGCUAGUGCAGAGGCCCUUCCUGGGUCUGGACACGUGGCGGCCCAGGGCGAUCUGAGCUGGGCUUGGACCCCGAGCCCAUGGGGGACCAGCCCAGGCCACACGAUGGCUAGGGCUCCCCAGGGCUCCCGGGAGCUGCCCCGCAGAGGGCGGGGGGAAUCCCCCUCAGUGCGGGAUGGAGAGCUAUCCAGGGCAAGUCCCGGAACGUACGGAGGUCGGACUCCUUAGCAGGUAUAAACAGUAACACGCAAUGACUGCGCACGGUACGCUCACUGAUUGACUGGACAACUCCUCUCGACUGUUUACUUCCCGUGAACCUUACUCACCGGAAAACUAACUUGACCGUCGGAGUGCCCUCGGGGACAACCUCAGGGCCCCUGUCAGUCCACUUUCUUGUUCAUCUUUCAGGCUUAGGACGCGCACUCUCCGCCAUCCAGCCGAGCUCAUCAGGUCAGCUCGGUCAGGGGAAGUUCCGUGCUUCUUCAACAACCACCCUCAAAUAAGUGGGCAACAAAAUAAUGCGUAAAGUUAAAGAAUUUCCAUCAUUUUCAACCAUUUGAACUUAUGGAAAGAAGUGCAUGUGACAUGCACGAGAAGGUAUGUUUGUCCCUUUUUAAUUUCUUGGACUUAAUUGAAGAUAUUAUUAAAAACUUUAGCGCCAAUUAAAAAUUUUCAAACAAAUUAAAGGUUAAAAUACAAUGUAAGGAAAUAUAGAGAGACUUGGAAUUUUUUUAAAUAAAAUUUUCUUCCUCUAUAUUUCUUUAUUCCUUCAUCCCUUUCCCCCACACUGCCCUCAUUCUUCCAUUCCCCCCUCCUACCUCUCUUUUGAUUUUCUCUUUCUUUCCAUCGCCUCUCCCUACAACCUUCCCUCUCUUUCUUGUACUUCUUAAUAUUCUUUUCUUUCUUGCCUCUACCUUUUCACUCUCUCCCUCCCUUGAAGAACCCCUUAAUAGAUGGCCCUAUUUAUGUUAACUAUUGCCAUAUUUAGGGAAAAAAGAAAGAACGUUAAGAAAAAGAACAAAGCAAAAUUUUGGGUUGGCUACACUAGAUUGUAUGGUAAUUUAUCUAUAGAUUUUUUUAUAAAUUGUUCAUUUUGUGUGAGAAAACUAUCAAUUUUCUUGAUUAGAAAUUAUGAGCAAGGUGUAAUUAUGGAAGCAAAAAUGAUUCCGGUAAGUUAACUAUGCACAAUAUCAAAAUCAAAGUCUAUGCAGGGUAGACUAUUUUUAAGAAUCCAAGAUUUCAACAAUUACCCGUCUCAAUUGCAAGAUAAAAAUUUAUACACUUACGUAGAGACAAAAAUAAGAAAUAUAGGAAUAAAGACUAUAGCAUGCAAGAACACAAUAAACAAAUUAUGACCCUUGUUGAAAUUUAUCUCACAAUAAAUUUUAUCCACCUAAGUUUAAAUAAAUUGAUUCCUAUCGUUAAUCAUAUCUUAUAAUAACCACUGUAAUUGUAGACCCCCAAUAUUUUUUUUGGCCUCCAAUGGAAAUCUUAUUACUAUAUUACGGCCUUCUUUUGGUUGUUUCAAAUUUUAUAAAAUAUGAUUAUAAAUAAGUAAUUCUAAAAAAUUUGAUCAAAAUUUGACACGUGAUCUCAUUUUUGUGAAAAAAAACCCUUAUAAAAAACUAGUGGUAUUUGUUCUCGAAGAAAAAAGUCACAAAAUCUAUAUAAAGCUAUAUAAAAGAUUUGAAAUGCCCUAACUUCACCAUUUCCAAUCUAAGUUAUAUUAUUUGUUAUCUUUUAUUAGCAUUGACUACGUGUCAACAAGUAUGUAAUAGGAAAAGAUUUGGGUAACCUUAACUUGAAAUUAUCAAAUUUCAAUAGCUACCCCUCAAAUUGUAUGGGCAAAAACUUGGGUGAAACUAGCCCAUAGCUCUGCCUGUGAACUAUGUGGUUCUUAAACACUCAUGUCAUUUUAUUUUUUUUGGCUUCUGGGAAAUGGUAAGUUUCUUUUUCUUUUCUUUUUUUUGGCUUUGUGAACAAGGACAAAUGCAUUUUUUUUUGUCAACUCUCUAAAAAGUGUUGGAGAACAAUAGUGUUAAUAGCCCCUGUUAUUCCAAAAUAGAAAAUGCAAGAAAAGAUGUUGAAGUAAGAAAGAAGUUUCAUUCUCCAGAUUUCUUCUAAUUAUCCAUGAGAAAUAAAGCCAAAUUAUUACAUUUUAUGUGAAAGAAUCUCAAACCCCAACAACCCAACAGAUUAGCAAAGUCAAAUCCAAUAAAAAUCAUCCAAAUGUAGAACUCCAUGAAAGUUAAAAUAAAAGUCUUUUCACUUCUUCCAUCAUCGAUUCUUCACAAAAAAAUUCCUCCUUUCCAUACACAUUCUAUCACGAUCUUCCAAUUAUUAAUGCUAAAAAAAAGCACAAGCAAAAGUUAUAUUAGUAAUUACUGCAUGGUCUUUGCAAAUAUUCACCAGCAAAGAUCUUGAUCAAUGUCCCUAUUGUUUCUUCAUCACCUUUUAAAAUUUUUAACCUCUGUUCCUCUCCCUAGUUGAUAUUCUCCAUAAGCUAAGCAAAGUUUCAAGAAAAUAUCAUGUUUAUGCAAUUUAUCUUGCCUAAACCCCCUUCAACUCCCUCCCACAAAAAAGUUUGAAUUUUGAAAAUAAAGUUAAGGAUUACGGUUUUCUUUUGGUUGCUUCAAAUUUUAUAAAAUAUGAUUAUAAAUAAGUAAUUCUAAAAAAUUUGAUCAAAAUUUGACAUGUGAUCUUGUUGUUGUGAAAAACAGCCCCCUUAUCAAAAACUAGUUGUAGUUGUUAUCCAAAAAAAAAGCAACAAAAUCUAAGGAUUGUGAAGGUAAGGAUUAUGAAGUUUGCAUUUUGAAAAUGAAGUUAAGGAUUAUGAAGAAGGAUGAGAAAUGGAAGAUUUGGAGAAAAGUUGGAGAUCUUUUCUUGUGUCUGGGAUCUAUUAACUAGUUGGAAGCAAUGUUUUCAAAACUAGAUCGGACUGUCCGAUUUGACCUGUUGAACUGCGAACCAACUAUGUCAUCGGUUCGAUCUAGCACAAAAGCUAGAUAGUGCUUCAAAACCACCAUAAACCAUUCUAACCAUGUGAAGCAAAUUGUUAAAAGCUGCAUAACCCAUGACCAGCAGUUUUUAAAGUCUCUAUACAAUACAAUAAGUGAAACAGAAAAUUCUUUUUUGGAAGUGCCAAAGUGCCAAGAUUCAAACUUGAGACCUUUGCUAUGAAUGUUCAACAACUGCCCAACACACCAAACUUCGGUUGACAACUUAUCUUGCCAAAAAUUUUCUUUGGACGUUAUUACUAAAUAAUCCUACAAAUAUUAACCCUAAACAUUAGCUGCCACUUCAAUCUUUCUUACUUUUUCUUCUCAAGUCCAAUUUUCACUUCGUCAUAUCACAAUUUUCGUGGCCUCUCCAUUACAAGCUUUCAUCUUUAUUCCACUCUCUCUUCUUUCUAAUCUUCAAUUUCUACUUUCUCCUUUACUUUUUUUACCUUCGUUACCCCCUUCUUAGUCCCAUUCUUUAAUUUAAUGUAUUGGUGAUUUCUUUCUCCAUUUUUAGUUUAAUCUUUUGAACUCUUUCUUUUGUGUCCUGUGUUUAUAUGUUGAAUUUCUUUUUUUCUCUUUUCUUUCCACUAUUUCCAAUAUGCUAUUGGUGCAUCAACCGUUUGCAUCAUGAGGAGUAGGAAGUUUUUGGGUUACCAGCAAUUGGUAAUGGUUGCUUUCAAAUAUUAAGCACAAACUUCUAUAAAUGCUUCCAAAUAUUUAAAUCAUGCAAAUUUAAUGUUUUUCGUCCAAAAUUCACUAUGCAAUAUUAAUAAAUUUGUGCAUAUAGUGUGCGAGGCGAGUAUGUCUGAGUGACAUUUGGUGAGAGAGAAGAGGAAAAGAGGGACAUAUCAUUUAAUUGGAUAAUAAACUAAAACUGACCUUUUUCAAUUUUUUCACGGCGUCCAUAGAAAAAUAAUAAUAACAAACAAAUCACAAGCUAAAAUAUUAGCUCAAAAAUACCAAAAGAGAAACAACCUCACAAAUUCGAUAUUUCGUUGACCUAUAUUGUUAUUAACUUCUUGUAAAUAAAGUAGCAUCCUAUUUUGAAAUUGUCAUCCAUUAUACAUAGAUUGGAUCACUUAAAUGUGAUAACAUUACACAUAAUUUUGAUUUUGUAAGAGUUUAUGCAAUACUCUAAUUUAUAUAUUUUUUGCAUUUAGUUUUAUACUGUGAAGCACUAAAUUUGAAUCUUGAUGUAUUAUCUUAGCUCACAAAUGUUUUAUUACACCUAACUUUUAGUAUAUCUUAGCUCAUAAAUGUUUUAUUACACCUAACUUUUAGUAUAAAAGACUUGCACCUUAUUUGUUAUUUAAAACAUUCAAAAAACUGGAUAAAAACGAAGAUGAAUAGUUUAUCGCUACAAUUUGUUUAUUGAGAGAAAAAAGAUACGAUAUAAAACACAUGUUUCAAUCAAACAAAUAAAUCUAGAACUAUUUAGAUGACCUUCGUAAGAAUCACAACUAAAUAUCAUUUAGUUAUAGUAAAAUAUUUAUGAUAAAAAGAGGGCAUGGAUUUCAUUCAAAACCAUCCAAGUGAAACAAAAAUAUACGAUCAAACAACAUAAUUAGCCGUAUAGCGACAUAGAUAUCACUGUAAAUAUCCAAAUGUCACAUUAGUAAGUCACAUAAUCUUGAUGUAAACACCAAAAAGUGAAAGCGUGCGUUAAAUCAUCACAUUAUCUAAAGUCUGUGCAUGUUGAAAGGAUCCAUAUACAGCUGACCUAAAAUUUUAUCCUCUCCAUUAUAUUUCGUCUCAAAUAAGUUGGCAACAAAAUAAUGCGUAAAGUUUAAGAACUUCCAUUAUUUCCAAUCAUUUGAACUUAUGGAAGAAAGCACACGUGACAUGCACAAGAAGAUAUGUUUGUCCUUUUUAAUUUCUUGAACUUAAUUAAAGAUAUUAUUAAAAAAAUUCAAACAAAUUAAAGGUAAAAAAUGUAAGGAAAUAUAAAGAAACUUGCAAUUUUUUUGAAAUAAAAUUUUUUUCCUCUGUAUUUCUUUAUUCCUUUUUCCCUUUCUCCCACACUGCCCUCCUCCUUCCAUUCCCUCCUCCCACCUCCCUUCUAAUCUCCUCUCUCUUCCCAUUGCCCCUCUCUACAAGCCUUUCCCCUUUUUUUGUACCUCUUAAUAUUCUCUUCUUUCCUACCUCUACGUCUCCACUCUCUCCUUCUCUUGAAUAACCCCUUAAUGGGUUGCCCUAUUCAUGUUAAUUGUCGCCAAAUUUAGGGAAAAAAAGAAAGAAGGUAAACAAAAAAAAAUCCAAAUUUUUUUGUCGACUACAAUGGAUUGUAUAGUAAUUUAUCUAUAGUAUUUUUUUUUAUAAAUUGUUGAUUUUGUGUGGGAAAAAUUACCAGUUUGCUUGAUUGGAAAUUAUGCGCAAGGUGUAAUUAUGGAAGAAAAAAAUGAUUCCAGUGAGUUAACUAUACACAAUAUCAAAAUCAAAGGCCUUUGCAGGGUAGACUAUUUUUAAGAAUCCAAAAUUUUCAUAAUCACUGGUCUCAAUUGCAUGAUAAAAAUUUAUGUACUUAUGUAGAGACAAAAAAAUUUAUGCACAACAAACAAAUUAUAACACUUGUUGAAAAUUACGUCUCACAAUAAAUUUUAUCCACCUAAGUUUAAAUAAAUGGAUUCCUAUCAUUAAUCAUAUCUUAGAAUAACCACUGUAAUUGUAUAGCCUCAAUCUUUUUUUUUGGCCUCUAAUGGAAAUCUUAUUACUAUAUUACGGUUUUUUUUUGGUUGCUUCAAAUUUUAUAAAAUCUAAUUCUAAAUAAGUAAUUCUAAAAAAAAUUGAUCAAAAUUUGACACAUGAUCUCAUUGUUGUUAAAAAACUCUUAUCAAAAACUAGUUGUAGUUCUAAAAAAGGCUACAAAAUCUACAUAAAGUUAUAUAAAAGAUUUGAAAUGCCCUAACUCCACCAUUUCCAAUCUAAGUUACAUUAUUUGUUAUCUCUUAUCAGCAUUGACCAUGUGUCAACAAGUAUGUAUUAAGAAAAGGUUUAGGUAACCCUAGUUUGAAAUUACCUAAUUUCAAUAGCUGCCCCCCAAAUUUUAUGGGCAAAAACAUGGGUAAAAUUGGUUCACGGCCCUACUCGUGAACUGUGUGGUUCUUAAAUACCCAUGUCUUUUUUUUUUUUUUUGCUUUUGGGAAAUGGUAAGCUUGUUUUUUUUUCUUUGUUAAUGAGGACUUGCUUUGUCAACUCUCUGAAAAGGGUUAGAGAAUGAUAGUUAAUAGCCCUUGUUCUCCCAAAAUAGAAAACGCAAGAACAAAUGUUGAAGCAAGAAAGAAGUUUCAUUCUUCAGAUUCGUUCUGAUUAUCCACGAGAAAUAAAACUAAAUUAUUACAUUUUACUUGAAAGAAUCUCAACCGCUAACAACCUAACAGAUUAGUAAAGUCAAAUCCAAUAAAAAUCAUCCAAAUAUAGAACUCCAUGGAGGUCAAAACAAAAGUUUUUUCAGCUCUUCCAUCAUCGAUUCUUCGCAAAAAAUCCGUCCCUUCCAUGCACCUUCUAUCACGAUCUUCCAAUUAUUAGUGCUAAAAAGGUACAAGCAAAAGUUAGAUUAGUAAUUAAUGCAUGGUCUUUGCAAAUAUUCACCAGCAAAGAUCUUGAUCUACAUCCUCAUUAUUUCUUCGUCACCUUUCAAAAUUUUCAAUCUUUGUUACUCUUUCUAAUUGGUAUUCUCCAUAAACUAAACAAAAUUUCAAGAAAAUAUCAUAGUUAUGCAAUUUAUCUUGCCUCAACCCCCGUCAACUCCCUCCCACAAAAACGUUUGAAUUUUGAAAAUAAGGCUAAGGAUGUUGAAGAAGGAAGAGAAACGGUAGAUAUGGAGAAAAGUUGAAGAUCGUUUCUUGUCUUUGGGAUCUGUUAACCUAGUUGGGAGAAAUGUUUCGAGAACCGGACUGGACUGACCGGUUCGACUGAUUGAACCACGAACGGACUAUUUCACUGGUUUGGUCUUAGUACAAAAGCCGGAUAGUACUUCAAAAGCGAUAUAAACCAUUCCAAUUGUGCGAAUCGCUAAAAACCGGACGAACCAUGAACCGGCCAUUUUGGGACUGUGCAAACCUAGGACCUUUGUUAUGAAUGUUCAACAACUAUCAAAUGCACCAAGACUUGGUUGACAAUUUAUCAUGUCAAAAAUUUUCUUUAGAUGUUAUUACUAAAUAAGCCUACAAAUAUUAACCCUAAACAUUAGCUGCCACUACAAUCUUUCCUACUUUCUCUUCUCAAUUCCAAUUUUCACAUCAUCGAAACAUGAUUUUCAUGAUCUUUCUAUUACAAACUUUCAUCUUUACUCCACUCUCUCUUCUUUCUAAUCUUCAAUCUCCACUCUCUCCUUUUUUUUUUUCCUUUGUCACCCUCUUCUUAAUUCCACUCUUUAGUUUAAUAUGUUGGUGUUUUCAUCCAUCAUUUUUAGUUUAAUCUUUUGAACUUUUUCUUUUCUGUCUUGUGUCUAUAUGUUGAAUUUCUUUUAUUCCAUUUUCUUUUGAACUUUUCUUCCCAAUGUUUCCAAUAUAUUGGUGCAUCAACCGUUUACAUCAUCAAGAGUAGGAAGUUUUUGGCUACCAGCAGUUGGCAAUGGUUGCUUCCAAAUAUUAAACAUAUCUUCUAUAAAUGCUUCCAAAUAUUUAAUUACCUCUUUUUUAAUGGUUGUUUACAAUCCUGAAAGCUUCUUUCUUGGCUUGCAAUUUUUUUUGUUUGUUUGAUUUUUUUUCUCUUUUUUUCUUUGAAAAAAUUCAGUCUAUCAAAUAUUUUUUCUAUUUUUUCAUGCUAUCAAGAAAAUAUUUUAGGGGAUUUAAAAGUCUCUUGAUUUUUGGCAAAAGAAUACUAUUAAAUUUAUGCGUACAAACAUGUUUUUGAAUCCUUUGUUUAAGCGAUAAUAGCGAUGUAAGAGAAGUCAUCACUGACUAUGGGGGGAGGACUUUUCAGAUUUUUUUAAUUUUUAAAAUAAAUAAAAACAGUAAAUCGGUGAACCGCCCUAUUGAAUCGGAACCGACGGCUCAGCCGAGUCAGUCACCGGUCUGUGUUUUAAAUCAUUGGUUCGGAGUGACCUGUUAGCCAAGUUGGGAGAAGUAGGCUAUAGGUCUAUAAGUGGGGCCGCACCAGGUUCACCUCGUGUUAUUAUAUUACCUAAAUGGACAAAAUAGGCGGGUCCAAAAGCACCAAAAAUCUUUUUUCGAGGAACGCUCUCUACUUUCACAUAAACUUCUCAGCUCAGUCCCUCCUUCAAACUGACAUCAUUCUUCCCUCCCUCUGCAACUAUGGCACUCUCAACUCCCAUCCCAGUAACUUCUUCUUCUCUUUCCCUCUGCAGAACAACCCUUCAAUCUCCAAGAAUUUACAGAAAACGCCUCCCCUUUUCUCCGCUUGCUUCUCUGCAAAGCUCAUCUUCUCCAUCUUCUUCUUCUCAUCAUGAAUCAUCAUCAACAGCAGCAGCACCAGCCCAAAUUAAAGUUGAGUCUGCAAAGGCAACCAGUUCAGUAAAGGGGUUUGACUAUGCUUUGGCAAACACAAACGUAGGCCCGGUUGUGAGAUUUGUUGAGUCCACUGAAUCAAACAUUGAAAGGGUAACAUAAAAAAGAAAACAUUAUUCAGUUCAUAAUACCCUUUCUCUUUAAUUUUUUUGAGAAUAACUGCUGCUUUCUAUGCAGGCAAUAUUCGACUUUCGCUUUUUGGCACUUUUAGCUGUUGGAGGUUCUCUGGCAGGUUCUAUGCUCUGCUUUCUUAAUGUAAUUUCCCCAACAUAUACUUUGUCGUUUUUCUCAUUUCAAGUUUGGUAUAAUUGUAUAAUGAUGUAUUUACAGUCGAGACUUGGUCUGGAAUUGUAGUAGUAGUAGUUUCUGUUGUGUUUUGAACAAUUUUACUGUCUUUGAAAAUGUUGAAGUUCAUGGUAGUAUGUCAAUAUAACAUGAAAGUUAUUCAACAUUUUCAUAAUCUCGUGAUUUUGAGAUUGCAUAUCUUGAUACUUCUCUUUGGAGAUCAAAGUGGUAAGUCAAGAGGUUUUGUCCUAAACAUGUUGAUCGGUUAGUUUUGGACUUAAUAUAUGGCAAAACGGCAGAGUUUAUACUGUUUUGGGUCUUUCUAGCAGUUCUAACCUAAAUUAUUGAUUGGCUUUUAUUUUAUUUAUCUGACAGUGGAAGGGAAGAAAUUGUGAGUUUUUAAGAGCAGAGUAUCAUUUACUAAUGAACCAGCUAAUAUGGUAUAGAGAAAAAUAGCUUCCUUACAUAUCUGAUCAAUGUGUUCGAGGAUUGGUAGAGUAUAUCAGGAGACCCAUUUUUUUCCCUUUCAUUUCUAAGCUGUAAGUUGUGUUGAAAAAUCGCUAAUCUUCUUGUGGGAUGGGUUUUCUUCGUAUGCCUAUACUGCAUAGGUGGAAUUUGUAAGCUUGAUUUCUGAACUUCUUUAUCUUUUAACAUCAGAAAUGGAACUUGUCUUUUUUCUCAACGUGAGUUCCCAUUGCAGCAUGCUCGUAAUUUGUCAGGGUAAAAAUGUCGAUAACAACAUAAUAGAUGGCACUUCUGUAAUCCACACUUAAGUCUCAAAUUUUCAAGUAAAUUUGAUGCAAGCAUUUAGUGAAUAUGAGAUCAUAUCUGAGACUAUUGUAUCAGAGUGACACAAGGAAGAAAGAAGUUUGAUGUUGCUUUUUAUCCCGAAGAGCUAAUACAGGAAACUUGAUUAUUGCCUAAAAAUAUGAGGCAGGUCUCAAACUCAAAGGAAUAACAUUUCAGAUUGUUUAUACUUCUGGCUAAUGCAAAGGUUUCCAUUUCCCAUGUACUGUCAAUACUUAGUCUGAUAUUACGUUUAAAACUCUUUCAGAAUAGCAAACAUAUUAGUUGAUUGUUGAAUCUGAACAAUUUGGUGUGUUUUUAACCCAAAAUACUGUCUCAUGUCAUAAGACAUAAAUUAGACUUCACAAAAUCUGCAUAAUGCAAUAGGAUUUUUUGUCUUUGUGGACUGUAGAUUGUCCAUUCCACUGACUGUUUAACAUCUUUCCAGGGUUGCAUUUACAUCUUUGAAGCAUACAAAGUUUAUUGGACAAGCUGCGUCAAAGGAAUUCAUACUGGAAACAUGGUUCUACGACUAGUUGAAGCAAUUGGUAAGUUACAAAGUAUCUUGCUUCGGAAUCUGCAGUCUUAGUUAACAACAGACUCUGCAUUUUACUUUUCCACAGCAUUUUUCCUGGAUCUUUAGAUGAGACUUAAUACCUUUGUAAAUUGUUGUUUCCUCAUAACUGCUAGAGUUGCUUUAGGUAAGAAGUCUCAUUUUCAUGAAAAGCCUUGCACAACUAUUGUGAUGAAGUACGUUGUGAUCCCAAAUUCAACAUCCUAAUUUGCUUUUUGCUUGUCUGUAAAUAGUAAUUUCUUUAAUAAUAUAUCAUGAACAAUCUAAUUUAUGUAACAAGUGUUUGUUAGAUCCACUGUACCCAUUGUCAAAAGUUGCUUUCCGCAUUUUAGAACAAGGAUUAAAAAAAUUCUGACUGCCCAUGUUCUCUGUGCCCCUUUUCAACCUUCCCUGUAUGACAAAGAUCAAAAAAAAGAUUUUUCUUCUUUUACAACAACAAAAAAUGGUUAACCCCACCAUUGCAAUUUUAUACUGUAGAAUCUGAAUUAAGUAACAGAUGACCAUAAUUGACAGCUUGACUUUUACCUUGGAACUCUUACACAUUUCUACUCUCCUCUAAUUGUACUCGUUAAAAUAAUAAAUGCAGAUAGGAAGGUGUAAUAUUCUAUUUGUUUGCUCAUAAUGGUCUCCCAUCAUCUUUUAGAUUCUUUUUUUUUUUUUUUCUAUUUGAAGAUCUUGUGAAGUUUUUUGGGAGGCACAAGUGGUUGUCUUCUCUUACUUAGUCUAUAUAACUUCCAAUUUAUCCUUUAUUGGUACUGGUGAUGAUAGCAGAAACUACUAUUCCCAAAAACAGAAAAGAGAGAGAGAGAAAGCAAGAUGGGGCUUUCUCGUGUGUUUCCGCGAGAUUGACUUAAUGAACACCAGGCACAUACCAUAACUGUGUCAUGCUUUGGAUCGCCAUUGGAAACACUUUGCCUGAUGGUCCAGUAAUUGGAAAUUUCAAUUUCCCACUUAAUGUUACACUACUUUUCCCCUUUAUCAUCUCUAGUCAUGGAGAUUUGUGUCUCAGCACUAAUCUUUAGUGUCUGGAAGGCAAUACCAUUUUACCUCAGCUUUAUACCUGCCUCACUUCCAUUAUUUUCCCGAGGAUAGAGGUAAACCCUUGCUUACUGUUCUCUAAGAGCUCAGAAAAGAACCCAGAGCCCAGACUUUGGAAUAUUCUUAAAGAGAUUGAAGUAGAAUUGCAUUGUUUGAAAAGUAUCAUGCAGAAAAGUAUCUGCAUUUUUCUCAUUGUUCUUAGAUCUUGCUUCUACAUACACUGUUUCUUGGGCUCCAGAUUCAUUAUUAUUCUGAAAGAUCUCUUGAAUUUGAGUGUAAAUGAAUUUUCUUUCUGCUGAUGUAUCAUUAGUUGCUGCCAGGUCCUUUCCCCCAUUCAGUAAGCAUAUCAUUCAAGGAAGUAGGCACAUUAGGUGAAGAAGUUGUAACUUUUUGUCCAAUUGUAGCUAAUGCACUUGCAAUGUAGUAAUUAGCAAUCAACAUAAAGCUUUCUCCUGUUAAUGAACCAGCAUCAGAUGUUCAGGAAUUCAUCUCUUUGAUGGCAUCCACCUCUCCUUCUCAAAGAAGCCUAACUUGCUUAUUUUUUCAUUAUUUUUACUGCAUCCGGCUCUUGGUGAUGUUUACUCAUGUUUUUGCAGAUGUAUAUCUAGCUGGAACUGUAAUGUUAAUUUUUGGGAUGGGCUUGUAUGGAUUGUUCAUCUCUAAUGUGGAUCCUAAUGAAUCUCCUGCUUCUGAUCGUGCCCUUAAGGGUUCUUCCUUAUUUGGGAUGUUUGCACUGAAGGUAGCAUCAUUUUGUUUACUUGCUUACUUCUCCUGUUUGUAUGACUUCUUCCAUGUCUUCUUUGCACUGGCUUUUCUUUUUUUUUUUGUUUUCCCAGUUAAGUUUCCUCUUUUCGUGCAGUAAUUAUAUUCCAAGUGAUUAGUUUUUCACACACUGUACAUUUAUACCUCUUUUUUUUUUGGACGGCAAAUUGACCUUUUGUACAGUGUUAAACAUUUUAUUAAUUAAGAUCAAAAGACGCUUUUGUGCAAACUUUGAGUUUUUGUUUUUCAAACUUUGAUUUGGUUUUUAAAGUUUGAAGUUUUUUAGAUGGUAUCUUUGGUCGCUAAACUAUUCUUCUUCAUUUAGUUUUCCUUUUCCUUGCAAAUUGAUACUGACGCAAAAGUAGAAUAAAUGUCAAAGGAGUUUGGUUAAGUUAGUUUAAAAAAAAUGAUUGCUAAUGAAGUUAUAUUCUAGAAGUAAAUAGUUUUUCUGAUAUUGUAUUUAUUUAAAUGGAGUGGCCUCUCGUCUAUUCUAUUAUAGACAAACAACAAGAAAUGUGAGAUUCUAUUAGUCAAUGACACUUGUUUCUUCUUUUCAGUUGCAUUUUAAAAAGGAAAAGAAGUUCGAGUUUGGUGGAACUGAUCAAAAUAAUCAACUUUAAUCAUGUAUUUGCACACACGAGUUGCUUUUCACAUUGUGAUGUGUCUACACAUCAAGAGUUUCUUUGCUAAUAAACAGGUUUCAUCGUUUGCAGGAGAGACCAAAAUGGAUGAAAAUUAGUUCGCUUGACGAGUUAAAGACUAAAGUAGGACAUGUAAUUGUCAUGAUUCUUUUAGUGAAGAUGUUUGAAAGAAGCAAGAUGGUAACAAUAGUAACUGGUAUGGAUCUAUUGAGCUAUUCUAUAAGUAUUUUUUUGUCUUCAGCUUCGUUGUAUAUACUCCAUAAUUUGCACAAAUCAGAGUAGAAGUUGGAGAUAAACAGCUUCUUGUCCCAUGGACGCUGCUAUGUAAUUUGUAAACCAUGUAUAAUAUGUUUAUAAAUGAGCAUAAUUUACUUGCAUGCAUCCCACAUUCUUUCUUCAUAAGCUUGAUAACUUCUAUUUUUAGCUUUGCAUAUCAGCUGCACAUUUCUUCGGGGAUGGAAUUCUUUGUCAUUCAAAAGAAGUUAGCUUUACUGAUGAUUCUUGAGGUCAUAUAGGGUCAGCCGUGCACGCUAUUUUCUACAUGUAAUAGCCAAUUUGUGAAGAGUCCAUUCUGCUUCCUCGUAUAAAUAUAUCAAGCUGAAGAAAUCCCCUUUUUCCCCAUAAGUGUGAGGUCCUAGAAUUUUUGCUUUUUGUCUUUGGGUGCUGCAGCUAGUAGGCUAAUGCAAUCUAGUCCAUCAGUUCUUGUACAUAUUUCAUUUUGUUGUCACAUUUUUUAAAAUCUUUAUCAAUUUCCUAGCGUUGCACCUAGCCAUAUUGUGCUACCUCAAUCCAGCCACUCCCAAACAACACAAAGUAGUUGAAGUAUUAGUAACUGGACCAACAUAGUGGAAGAUGAGAAAGUCCAUAUGCAUGAUGGCUUAACCGAUUAAGCAAAAUCAGUUAAAAUAUAAAGUUCCAACAGCCUCUGCGCUACCACAUAAUAUAACUUCAAACACUGGGCAUUUAAUAUUCUCCAUUGGCAUGGAGCUUAUUCCAAAGGAUAAGAAUAACUUCUGUUUGCAUACGAACAGGUGAAUGACUGGUUUCUGACACUUGAGUGCUACUUGUUUGCUGUCAGCUUUCCGACGUCGUGGCUUUAAAGAACUGCAUCAGUGGGCAGCUACGAAUGAACUCUGGCGGAAAAGGGGAAUCAUUAUUCUGGACAAACUACCAUAACCAGUUCUAGAACAAAUUAUUCUGAAACGUGACCUCAGCAAGGAAACAGUUUGUGAGAUUAUCCUGGAUGUUCUAGAAGUCCGAGUGUUUAGAAUUUGGAUGGCAUAGAAAUGACAUGAGCUCAGGGUUAAACAUUUUGGAAAUUGACAACUUAUUUCUGAACCUUGCAACAAAUCUGAAAUUGGUGAGCUGAACAACAUGAUGGAUUCUGAUGGUUGAUAGCAAAAGAUGUGAUUGUGGGGAUCGGUGCUGACAGUGUAGUUGAUGCUAUUCCUGAAGGCAAUCUUUUGGCUGCUGGAAAUGGAGAAACAUAACCAAAAGUGGAAGGACAAUACGGUAUUCCAAUUUCCUGCAUCCAGGGGUAUCAUUUAGAUAUUACUGGCUUCAGAAAAAAGGCCAACAACCUUGGCUAGUCUGACCAUUCAUGGCUAAUUUACCAUUGCUAAAAUCAGUUCCUCUGUCUACCGAUUUUCAACUAGAAUGUGCCACAAAGUUACCUGAAGUGUGUGUGAAUCCAAAGAUGUUGAUCCGCAUGUAAGACUUGCCUCCUUUUGAGGCAAUUAUAACCCACAUGAUUGAUUCUAAAGUGAUUGAUAUCAUAAUUAAUUGAUUGAUAUUUUGUCAAAAAUUAAUUAGCAUCUCCCAUUAGAUAAUGAUUAGUGAUUGAUAUCGUGAUUAAUUGAUUGACAUUUUAUCAAUCAAUUAAUUAGUACCUCUCAUUGUUAAUGAUUGAUUGAUAUCUUAUUCAAUUAGUUAAUCAAUCAAAUCAAUCAAUUAGUCAGAAAAUAUUAUUUUCAAUUAUGAAUUUUGGCAAGAUUUCCUUGAUGGAAGGAAACCCUACGGAUUCUGUAUUUGCUAGUACAGGUCCGUAACCUAACCUAUAAAUAGUCUAUGGUAUUCCAUCAAUUGUACAUUUUUGGGUUAGACACAGGUUAGAAGAUUCUUACUCUAAAUUCUCCUUCCACUUUUCCUUCUUUUACAUAUUUUGUUUUGUUAAAAUAGACAAGAAAGAGUCAAAGACACAAGAAAAGAUCAACUUGUGCUUGACAACAAUGGUUAGAGGUAAGUGUAUUUAGAUUUUCGCUGUAGAGUACAUUCAUAUGUAUAUAAUUAGUUAACAUGUGGUAUUAGAGCAAACCUCUAACCAUGUUGUUCAGCUUGUAACUUCAUGGCCUUUUGACAAUCGGGUAAAAGUUUUAGAAAUUCAUAUCAAGUUUGAAUGAAUCAAAUUUAAUUUGUCAUGGGAUUUAUGGUUUCAUUUUCUCAAUAAUUGAGAUUUAAUGACUAAUCUCAUGAUAUGUAUCAUUCAUAUGAUACCUUAUUUGAUUAUACAAUUCAUCCAAAUUUUCUCUAAUAAUCUAGUAUAACUACAAAUAAUUUGAAUGUUUCUUGGACUUAUAUAUUUGUGAUUGUAAGGGUUAUAUGUAUUGAUUGUUGUUAUCAAUACAAUAUAACAAUUCAAGAAACAUAUAAAGAGUUAUUAUAUUCAUCGAUCAAAAGAUUAAUAUCAUAUUAAUCUAUGCAAAAUAAUUGGUUGACUUUAUAUGAAUGGAUCUGCUGGCUUAUUGAAUCUCUGCUACCUUAUUACGAGAUAAAUAUCUAAAGGUAUGAUUUCAAUAUGAGUUUGCCUCUACGUUUCUAUUAUUAUUUGGAAUUAUGUAAUAUUUUUGUGCACUAUACUUAUGUUCAUUUAUCUCAUAUUAUAAUAUCAACAUUAGUAUGGUUGAUUACAUUUGAAUUUCAGAGAAUUUCCUUUAUAAAGUUUGUCUUGCAUCUCAAUUAUUUGAUGCAUGAAGUAUUUUAAUCACAUAAAGAUUGGUGGUUAAAAAUGAAUAUAAAAAAAGGAAAAUUGAGAAAUUCUUUUGUCAAAACACAAAAUUUUUGACUAUUUUGGUAUUUUUAUAAACUCUAGCACACUUUAUGUUUGAGAGUAGCCAUAGCAUCUCAAACAUUGGUGUACUACAAUUUUUAUCAUAUAUAGUUCAGUGAUUAAAAUCAAGGAUUUCUAGUUAACAAGUUGGCUACUUAUUUUCUAUGAAUAUUCAUUUUAGAAGUUUUCUUGGAUCAUAUAUUUGGAAGUAGUCACAACAUCUCAAAUAUAUGGUGUAAAGAACAUUAAUCACAUAAGAUUAAGUGAUUAUAAAAGGAAAGGAAAAUUCAAUGAAAUUCAGUCAACAUAAAGUUUUUGACUAUUGACAAAUAACAAGAUACCAUGCUAAGAAUUUCACUUUUAUAUUAUAUAUUUAGGAGUAGUCACAGCAUCCCAAAUAUUUGAUGAGAAAACUUUUCAUCAUAUACAAUUUGGUGAUUGAAAUUAUGAAUUUUUAGUCAAUAUUAACUAGUUGACAAUUUUUCUUAUAACACCGUAUACUUAGAAGUAACCACAACAUCUUAAGUAUAUUGGUGUUUGGAGAAAUUUUGUAUUUUUUUUUCACAUAUUGUUGAGUGAUUAAAGAAAUUAAAAAAAAUGGCAUCUAUAUCAAGUUACAAUUAAUUCAUUAAAAUAAUUAUUGACAAACGCGAGGUAUACAUAUAACAAUUAACUCAUCUACAAUCAAAUUUUACAAUUAUAAAUCCUAAAUACCCCACACUCAAUUUUUUGCAAGUAUACGAGUCGUGAUUAAAUAUAGGGUAUUAAAGGUUGAACCUACAGGUUAGAUUAUCAAUUACCGAUGAUUUUCAAAUUUCUUUAUUAUUUAGACUAUGACAAAUGUAAGAAAUUAAAUCUACACUAUAAACAUAAAAUAAAAGUAAUACAAAUAAUAAUAUAAAACUCCUAGAGGUAUGAAAUUCCUUACUACUCUCACAAAUGACAUACCGGUUAAGUGAAUGCUAUUAUCUUGAUUAAUUACGACGUAAUUUCCUAAUGUAUGUGAAACCUACUCUCGUAGUGAAUCAACUGUACUUGUAAGUAAGCCAUACCUACUUUUGUAGUUAUGAAAUUAAUUACAAACUCAUUUCUUCUAUGAAAUUACAUGAAACAAGUCACUAAACCCACAUAGGUGCACAUCUACUCUUGUGAGUGUACUUCCUAGUUAUCACUUUCUUGAACUAGUGUUAAAUUUCAAUUUUCAUUUGCAAACUUAACACCUUAACAUUAUCACAAUUAAUGGCCGGUUAAUCAUGAUUAGAAAAGCAAAAGUGAUAAAUAACUUGUUCAAAAUAAUAUCAUCAAAUAACCAAGUAAAUAUCACUAACAAGAUAUGAAAAGUUUAUUCAUAAUUUUAGGCAUAAACUUUAAUAAAAUAUGAAAACAAAUACCAAACUUGUAUUAUAACUAAAUAUAAAAUCAAAUACAAAAGAGAAAGUGCUAGGAGAGAAGUCAACCUUGUCACAUAAGUUUCAAACUCUCUAUCUUUGCUUUUCAAAUCUUCAUCCAAAUCUAGUUAUAAGUACAAGAAAGAAAAACUACACUAACUAUACUACACUAGUGAACUAAGAAAAACUAGUGAAGACUAUCAAAAUUGUGGAGUUUCUCUAGCCUUCCAAAAUUGUGAAAAAUAUCCUCCAAGGCUGCUAUUUAUAGAGAGAUUCAAGAUCAAGAAGAGUUGUUUCUAGUUGACAUUUUUUAUUCUUGAAACUCUCAAAGGUUGUUUCUACAAGAUUCUAUACUUACUUGCUUAGAUACAGCUAGAAUUCUUGUAGAAAAAUGGGUCAAAAAACUUGUGUGAAUAGAGCACAAGUUGCAAAGUAAGUUGCAGCCAAAAUUGAAGAAUACACCACCUCGAAAAUGCGACUUAAGAUCGCGUAUUAUACCCACGUUUUGCUCUUUUGCAGGUUUGCUCAUCUUUGGUCAAGUCUUCUCUUUGCUCUAUUUUUGGUCCAAAUUCAACUAAUAUUUUCUUGAUGAUAGAAGCUGAACUGAUUCUUGUACGAAACAUGAAAGUUAUAUCCCUUUGAUUUAGCUUUCCAAUGCCUCUAGAAUCAUCUAAUUUGAAGUUUUGUGGACCGAUAAAUGAUCAAAACACCCUUGACUGGUCAAUCCCCUAUUUCAACUUUCGGCAACAAAAUUGCACUUCUAUAUUUUGACAAUGAAAACGACUGGACUGAAUUUCGAGGUUCUCACGAAAAAUAUAGAUCUAUCUCUUAACUUCAAAAUAGUUUAAAAAUUAUCUCAAUCCAAUACGUGUAUCUCAACAUAUAGCUGAAAUAUCACAAGGUGUCAAAACUAAAAAAACUCCCUUCCUUUUAUUCUUGAUUGCAUUUUCUCUUUUGAACAUUUGGCAAUUCAUGUCUUUUUUAAAUCACUCCAAUUCAUCAAUAAUCAUUCAAAUAUCUUUUCAAGUCAGUACAAUUGAUGAUUGAAUCAUUAAACCUACAAAAACAUGAAAUUUUCACCAUUAAAAUUCAUAGAAAUGCAAUUUUUUGACACUUAAAUCAUAAAAUGCAUAUUUUUACUAAAAACUUAGUUCAUGAGCUAUAAAAGUAAAUAAAAUACACCAAAAUCAAAUAAUAAAACACCAAUUCUUCUAUUUUAAAAACAUAUCUUUAUACCAUCUAAAAUCUGAUAAUGUUGGGCAUCUUAAAUUUGUUAAGAAUGUUUUAUUUGAAUUUAAUUCUUCUUUAGGAUUUCCUAUAAAAUACAUUACUAUUGUUACUAUUAAAAAUUCUGCAGCAUCUGACUGUAUUUGAAUAUUUCCUUGAUCAUCUUCUAUUUCUUGUGUAUGAUCUAAUAUUGAUAAUUUAUCUUGUAAUGUUAAAGCAUUAUCCCACCAAUUCUUUAAUUGUCCAGUAAAUCCUGAGACUAAUAAAGUUGCAAUAUUUCUUUCUUGAAUAUUUUUAAUUUUAUAGGCUAAUCUCGCCAUUCCCAUUUCUUGCAAAUUAUUUAAUACUUCAUAUUCUGCUUUGCCAUCUAUGUUCCAUUCAUAUAUUGAGUCUCCAUCAUAUUUAGUUGUUCUAAAUUUUGAUCUUUCUUCAUAUUGAAUAUCCGGAGGACUUGGUCUAGGAUAAUAAUGAUAUUUGUGAAACCCUUCUAUCAUUGAUAUUCACAAAAUAGAAUGUAAAAGAUAGUUAAUCUAUUUUAAGAUCUUCAUGCAAGAGUUCUUUGAUUACUUUUAAGUAAUAAUAGUGAACAAUUGCAUAAUGUUCACAUCAUGCAUUGGAAUGAAUAUAUAAAUUCAUUAAGGAUGCUAUGAAGUUAUACCAUAGGCAUCUGCCGUUUGACAUAAAGUUUGUCGAUAUCACACUAUAGAUAUUCGAUUCGACUUUAUAUGUAUACAUGAAAGAGUGGGAAUCAAGAUAAGCAAGUUGACAUAAGGUAUUCAAUAGUUAUUUAGAAAGUAAAAUUUAGCUGUUAAGUAUACAACAAGAAGUUAUUAUUGUUGAUCAAACAACUAAAGGUUGCUAUUAUUGUUGAUCAAAUAACUCACAUGGAACUCAGUAGUUCAUUUAGUAUUUUGCUAUUAUUUUCAAACUAUUGUUAUUGUCUAGACACGUGAGAUACUUAUAUUUACAUGAUUUUGUGCACAUUGUUCUUCAUGUAUAAAGUAAGGAUCAUGUGAUCCAUAAAGUUGGACCAUGAAUAACUUAUAUGAAGUUAUUCAUAAAGUUCUUUUAAAGCAAUUGAUUAGGAAGUAUAAUACACUGUAAUACAUAGAAGGAAGUGUUUGCUAUGAAAGUAUAACCGUUAUGAUUCGUGUAUUAUUAUUUUCUAAUUAAGCAACUGUUACAUAACUGUUGAACUUGGUGAGUGACAAACAAGGUUUAUGACCAUUUUUAAAUAAAUAGUCACUCAUAAGUUAUCUGACUAUUCUGUGUGAGUCAAGUGGGAGAAUGUAAGACUUGCCUCUUUUGGAAACAAUUAUAACCCAUAUGAUUGAUUUUAAAGUGAUUGAUAUCAUAAUUAAUUGAUUGACAUUUUGUCAAUAAUUAAUUAGCUUGUCCCAUUAGAUAAUGAUUGUGAUUGAUAUCUUGAUUAAUUGAUUGAUAUUUUAUCAAUAAUUAAUUAGUAUCUCGUAUUUUUUAAUGAUUGAUUGAUAUCUUUGAUUGCAUGGAAGAUAUCUUUAAUUACAAUAAUAUCUUUGAUUACAUUGAUUAAUUAUUGAUAUCUUUAAUCACUCAACUUGUUGAUUACAUGGAAGGAAGUGUUUGCCAUGAAAGUAUAACUGUCAUGAUUUGUGUAUUAUUAUUUUCUAAUUAAGCAAAUGUUACAUAACUGUUGAACUUGGUGAGUGACAAACAAGGUUUAUGGCCAUUUUUAAGUAGUUAGUCACUCAUAAGUUAUCUGACUAUUUCAUAUGGGUCAAGUGAGAGAAUAUAAAACUUGUCUCCUUUUGAAACAAUUAUGACCCACAUGAUUGAUUCUGAAGUGAUUGAUAUCAUAAUUAAUUGAUUGACAUUUUGUCAAUAAUUAAGUAACUUCUCCCAUUAGAUAAUGAUUGGUGAUUGAUAUCCUGGUUAAUUGAUUAGUAUCUCUCAUUUGUUAAUGAUUGAUUGAUAUCUUUGAUUGAUAUCUUGUUUAAUCAGUUGAUCAAUCAAAUCAAUCAAUUAGUCAGAAAAUAUUAUUUUCAGUUAUGAAUUUUGACAAGAUUUCCUUAGUGGAAGGAAAUCUCAAAAAUUUUUGUAUUUGCUAGUAAGGGUCCCUAGCCUAACAUAUAAAUAGUCUGUGGUGUUCCAUCAAUAAUACACUUUUGGGUUAGACAUAGAUUAGAAGAUCCUUACUCUAAAUUCUCCUUCUACUUUUCCUUCUUCUACACAUUUUGUUUUGUUAGAGUAGACAAGAAGAAAUCAAAGACACUAGAAAAGAUUAACUUGUGCUUGGCAACAAUGGUUAGAGAUAAGAGUAUUUAAAUUUUCGCUGCAUAGUACAUUCAUAUGUAUAUAAUUAGUUAACACCGCAACCUUUAAAUCAUUAACUGCAUUAUUUCUGUUUUUGUGCUUUAAGCCCAUUAUACCAAAAGUUUAUUACCAAGUAGGGGCACAGUUUCUGUAUGCAGGUAGAGGAUUCCUUUGCCUGUACCUAACGCAAUUCUCAACCUUAUAGUGAAACUAAGAGGCUCUUUAGACUUCCCUGCGAUAUUACAGGCAAUACACCAACUCUGCAUUAACAACCACUAAAAUUACAUGAGGAAGCACCGGCUGAAGUAAUUUGCUGCUACUAAACUACUCAGAUAAAGUAUAAGUUCAAUACACCUGUGGAUCCAAAUUUUGUCUAUUUACCUGCGCCUUAUUCCUAAACGGGGUCCAGAGGAAGAAAUAUAGAACAAAGAAAGAAAUAUGCCAAUUUGUAUCCAGCAGAACACAAACACACACUUGUUGGUGUGCCAUUGUGUCUCCACUUGCACAAGCUCAUCCUCAUAGUAAAUAUAAGUGAGAGUUCAUACUAUGUUACUUAAGCCAAUAUUAAAUAAAAAAAAAGGAAAAAAAAAGAGUAGGGGCACAGUUGACUGGCAUUUUUGAACUUACGCAAAACAGUAAAAUGCGUUUGCCGGGAGUCGAACCCGGGUCUAUUGCUUGGAAGGCAAUUAUCCUAACCGUUGGACUACAAACGCUGGUUCCUGCUUAAGGUGACACAACAUUAUAUAUUAUUAAUACUUUGGUAGCAAGUAGUAACUAAGGUACCCACGCCAAUAGUCCAAUUGCGAGCAAUCAAAACGUAAAAAUUUUGUUCUUCCAGAAGUCCAUAUUAUUUUAACGUGGAAAUAGUAAUACGAGCUAAAAAGUAAAAUUAAGUAGUACGAUGUUGACCAGUGACAAAUGACACAUAAUCAAUUGACUUUCAAAACAAAAUUGAACUUGUCAACUUGUAACCAUUUCCUCUCUUUCUUUAGCAAACAAAUCAAUCUAUUUCUAAGAAAAUUAUAGGCAAAAAAGCAUUACUAAUAAAUAGGCAAACUUUAAGCACGACAUUAACAAGACUAGUGACAAAAUUUACCUUAAUUAACUAACUGUUGCUCAACCAACGGCCCUUUGGGCAGUUGGUCACUCCACCAAAGACUUUAAGUCUUUGUGGGGUAGUUGGUCAUCAUCAAAAAAUCUAAAAUUUUAAAUCUUUGGACAGUUAAUCACCGCCAAGAUUUGAAUUUGCUUCUCAUCAAUGUGUCAUUAUAUGUAAUUUCUUCUAAAUGUAUAGAGAUGCGUAGUGUACCUAUUUAGGUCGAUAGUAGUUCAGUUUCUUUCGAUUUUUCUAGGUCUCGUUAGACCUCUCGCCAAGUUAGGUUAGAUGUUGCGAUUUGAUAAAAAAAAAUUUAAUUGUUACUCAAACGCGAAAAAUUUCAACAUGUAAAUUGAGUUUGUAAAGAAAUCGCUGUAUUUAUUAGAUAAUUAGUAAAUUGAGUUUGCAAACCACUGGGUCGGAAAUUCUGCUAAGGACUCUUGGAGAAGCUUAAGAUUCCUAGCCGCCACAUGUUCUGGCCUUUUCAACCACUCUUUAGGCCGUUUGCAAUACGGUGGAAUGAUCGUAUUGAUGGAAUUGGUGGCGGUGAUUGCCCGGUUGGCCUUUGGCUAUGCUUGGAGUAGUUGUAGAAGCUAUGAAAUUAUAUUGAUCUCUCUUUUAUCAGGUAAUUAUUUGUGGUUAAAAUAAUUUGUCUUUUUUUUAACCCUUCUUAUUUGCUAAACUUCAUUCUAAUCCAUUUUCCUGAUAAUUUAAUUUCUCAAUUCAUAAAGCUCAUCCUAAGAGUACAAUCAACAGUGAUAACAAAAUUUGCAUUGAUCCAGUAAAAGUUUGUGAAAUCUUUCCUAACUAAGGUACUUGCUUAUAACUUUACAUUAUGCUCUAAUUAUUGCUCGAUCGAUGACUUCGAGAAAAGGGACCAUAGUUUCCAAAAUUUGAGGUACUUCAUUAAAAAAAAAUGGACCUUAAUUUGAUCCCCUAUGUGGCUAAAAUAAUUGAUACGUUUUCGAAAUGAUAUAUGGAUCACUUUGUUUUAAUUUUUGGUCAACAACGAAAAUACUUUGUUUUAUAUGUUGGGAACUAAAUUAAAAUGCCCUCAAACUGUGAAAGACUACUUUAGCAACUUCCCGUCAUUGGACUACUUACAAUGUUACACCUCUCAUGUACUGAAAAAGAAAAAAAUUAUCUACACAAUAUAUAAGGCUAAAAUUGGAGUACUACGUGACAAUCACAUUUUAAUUUUUUUUUUAUUAUAUCCUUGAUGAUUGCAUAAGUAAAAUGGUCUCAAUAUAUUAAAAAUAAAAACAAAAGUGUAGAAUUUGAAUAAUAUUGGGAGUGUUUGGAUAGCUUUUUAUUGGAAAAUUUUUUUGUACUUACAACAUAAAUACAUUUUCUUUACCAUUUUAUCUUUUUAACUACUUUUCUAUUUCAUAUACAUUAUAUUAUUAAAUGUGUUCCAGUACUGUAGUAUUCCAAAAAAAAUAUUCUCAAAUAAUCUUCUAUCUGAAAUUUAACUCGAAUAGAGUGAAAACAUAACAAAAAUAUUUUAACAAAGCCCAUUUUUGCCUAUGUAUGAGAAGAAAGAGGAGUACAUGGGUAGCUUUUUUAUUCGUUUUUCUAAUUAAAAGUUAGAAGCACAAGCUUAAAAUAAAAAUCAACUUGGGUAAUUGUCUCCGAAUUUUUUCUUUUUCUUUUUUUUUGUGGUAAAAGGAAUUACACUUGUGGACUUGAUAAUCUAUCUUAAUGAGACAGAUUUCUGUAAAAGUAUCACAUAACUGAGAAAAGUUUGAUAAUCUUGGUCUUAUCUUAAUCAAUUGAACAUGAGGUUAGAAAUAACUUGUGGUUUCUGGAGCUACGCCUAAUCAUCUUGCUAACAAACCUACUCUUUCUCCUAACAAAUCAUGAUUUGAUGUUAGUUAGUUCAUCAUAUAUUUUAAGAAACUGUCACUAAACUACUAUAAUUAAUUUCGUAUUAGGUUUGUAUCGUAUUUUCAGGUCGUGUUAGAAAUUACCAUCCCUAAUUAAAGCUAGCUUGGAAUACUAAAGCUCAAAUUAUCCCACAAAAAAAAAAAGAAAAUGCAUACACGACUGUUAAUAUCUGCCUUACUAAUCAUGCAGAUUUUGUAAUCUCGAAAACAAUCAUAAAUUUUGACAAAAAAAAAAAAAGAAGAAAACAAUCAUAAAGUGUUCUCCACUUAAAUACUUUGAUACUUGUCUUGAUCCUAUUUUCAAGUUGCUCUCAUUUUGUAACAAGUAAUAAAUCAAGAGUUUUUGUAACGUUUGCUCAUAAGGCACUUAUUAACACACUUAAUAUUUAUCUAACUUACAAUGUAUAUACACAUACUAAUAAUUAUUAUCUUUGCUUGCAUUUAUAUACUUUUUCUAUUUAAUUUUACUUACUUUAUCUUGUAUUUAUUUACUUUCCCUAAUUAAUCUUACAUUUCUAAAAAUAUGACACAUGAAAUAUAUCUUAACGAGUAUCCUAUGAGCACCAGUUAGAUAAUGAUUCUUACAAAUAAGUUUGACAAUGACUAGGGCAAAAAUUUAUUUUUGGAAAGACUUGACCUUUAUUUCUGUCUUAGUGUGACCGAAAAUUUUGUUUAAGCAUUAGAAUUUUUCAAAGCUCAAAAAAUUAAAAAUAUUGCACAAAAUUACCAAAAAGAUUACAAUAAAAUUUGAGGAAAUGGUCAAUAAUGAGGUGCUAUGCUUUUAUUAUCUAUUUAAAUAUAACUAAAAGUCUUUUUGAACCCCGUUUGAUAAUCCAAUUCAACACUUAAAUUUAAUAGAUUCAGAUCUUAACAUGUUCAAAUACGUUUGAUAACCAAAACUAGAACAUCUGAAUGAAUUAAAUGGUUCUAAAUUUUUUAGGCAAAAUUUGCUCCAAAAAUGUACACUUAAAUAUAUCAGAUUUAGUAUAUAAUAUUUCACUAACUUAAUGGAUUUAGAUUACAAAUUUCAGAUUUCAAUUUUUAGAUUUCAGUUUUAUCAAAUACACAAGUGAGCUAUCCCAACAAAUUUGGAGACAUAAGUACAAAUUGUUCCCUUAAGGAUUAGAAUUUUUCAAAGCACAAAAAAUUGAAUAUAUGGGUGAAAAUUACCAAAAAAGAUUACAAUAAAAUUUGAGGAAAUGGUCAAUAAUGAGGUGCUAUGCUUUUAUUAUCUGUUCAGAUAUACCAAAAUGUCUUUCUGAUUGUUUCCUUAUGGAGCAGCCUAUUCAUGCUCGUACCAGUUCUGUCCUUUUUGUUUACAUUUUAGCAACUUUAUAUAUAAUCUCCAUCGCGUACCUUGUACAAACAAGAAUAAAAAGUUUGAAAUUGUAUGUUUUCCAAACUUGGAUAUAAACAAUUUCAAGUUAAUGACAGUACAUGAAUGCCAUGAUUCAAAGGCUGACUAAUUUCAUCUCUUUGAAGCUUUCGAUAGUAUCCUUGAGGCUCACCUCCAAAGGCAUGAACUCAAUGCCCAAACCUUUUACUUUCUCAUUUGAUACAUCAUAUUUCAGCUGAAUUAGUGGACUGCCAUUAGAACAU